Molecule: ribosomal RNA, 253 nt
Filed under: uncultured bacterium
Lineage: Bacteria
Description: partial 16S ribosomal RNA
Rfam family: Bacterial small subunit ribosomal RNA
Source: RNAcentral
UACGAAGGGGGUUAGCGUUGCUCGGAAUUACUGGGCGUAAAGGGAGCGUAGGCGGACAUUUAAGUCAGGGGUGAAAUCCCGGGGCUCAACCUCGGAAUUGCCUUUGAUACUGGGUGUCUUGAGUAUGAGAGAGGUAUGUGGAACUCCGAGUGUAGAGGUGAAAUUCGUAGAUAUUCGGAAGAACACCAGUGGCGAAGGCGACAUACUGGCUCAUUACUGACGCUGAGGCUCGAAAGCGUGGGGAGCAAACAGG